This 147-nucleotide ribosomal RNA is filed under the name Enterobacter hormaechei subsp. xiangfangensis. RNAcentral describes it as "partial 23S ribosomal RNA". The stretch from base 1 to 129 matches the Rfam family "Bacterial large subunit ribosomal RNA", at positions 2802 to 2925 of the family's 2925-position model. Lineage: Bacteria; Pseudomonadati; Pseudomonadota; Gammaproteobacteria; Enterobacterales; Enterobacteriaceae. The record is from RNAcentral.
AGAUGAGUUCUCCCUGAGACCUUGAGUCUCCUGAAGGAACGUUAAAGACUAUGACGUUGAUAGGUCGGGUGUGUAAGCGCAGCGAUGCGUUGAGCUAACCGAUACUAAUGAACCGUGAGGCUUAACCUUACAACGCCGAAGGUGUUU